This 303-nucleotide long non-coding RNA is filed under the name Arabidopsis lyrata. RNAcentral's name for it is "long non-coding RNA (ALYR_LNC002676)". Lineage: Eukaryota; Viridiplantae; Streptophyta; Magnoliopsida; Brassicales; Brassicaceae. The record is from RNAcentral.
UUGAUUCUCCAUUAUUUGAUGUUAACUGGAAGCUUGUGAUUCUGGAAUUGAGUGUUUCUUCUCAUCUCCUUACGCUGCAAAUUAGCAUUGAAGAUAAGUAGAUAAUGAUGAACCUAUUGGAGUUGAAGUCGCCGCCACCACCGCGACAAGCACCACCAACGCCACAUCGUUGCCGCCAUACCAACACAAUCACCACCACUGUCAUUAACACCACCACCACUACAACUCACUCCUUACGCGUACGUCCACAAACUGAAACGAAAUCAUUCGAUCCAAAUGCAACCACGAGUGUGUUACUCUCCU